UUUUAACAGCAAUGCCAAACAAGCCCUAUAUAUUCUUUAAAAUUUUCGAUUGUUUUGAUUCGUAUUUCUAUAGCCAUAGAAGCAAAUUGAAUCUAUGGCAUAUGACACAAAAUUACCAACUUAUUGAGUUCAGAUUUUCUCUUAGUGUUAGUGUUGGACUAGUGAAGAAGGGGUUGGCUCUCUAGUCUCUCCCUUCAAUAUCACAUGUUUAUGUUCUCAUAAAUAGGUUUUGGCUAUCCUACCAAGUUCUCUACAUCUUAUACAAUUACUCUCAUGCCAAGGCACCGGUGAUUUUAGGUUAAUAUUCUCAAUCUUUCUCCUAUUUCUUUGUUACCAUACACUUGACAAACUAUUUUUCUUUCUCCCUUCUUUAAAAUUUCAUCCAUAGGUGAUAUUUCCACCACCUUGCAGACAUAGGUUAUAUUUAUGUCCAUUUUUCUUUUUACCAUCAAUAACUAUUUUUCUUCGAGCUGAAGUGCUACUAUUUAAACCUACAUAUUUUGUUUUUAUCAAUACUCUACGGAAUGGGAGGCCAAUAAUUUUGGUUUAGAGUAUUAGUACUGUCGGCAUAGCUGUGAGAUAUGGAGUCUGAAUCUAAUUAGAGUCUAAUCAACCCAAAAAAUUAAUUAAUUAAUUAAUUAAAGCUGGAGUGUUACUAUUUUAAUAAGAUGAUGACAUUGACAAGUAGUAGUUGCAGAAAAUUAUAUUAUGAGUUUACUGAAUCGAUUUAAAAUCUAAAUAGUUAUUCAUUACUUAAAUUUCAUGAUUUUAAUUUUACUAAAGAAGGAUAAAAAAAAGAAAGUAGCAUACAAAUUGUUAGCAUUGGUUGAAGUGAAUAUAAAUAAAAGUCUAAAUUUACAAAAAUAUUGAAAAAACUUAUGAUUGCAUUUUAAAAAAUGUAUAUAUUAGAGAAAUGUCCAUUAUAUGUAUAAUAAAUACACUUUGAUCAUUAAUUAUGAUGGGAUUUAUCAUGAUUAAUGGUUCUAAUGCUACCUUUGUAGAUGCAACAACUGUAUUUUGAAAUUUUUCUCAUUGAGGACUAGUUUUUAUUUUGUAAUUCAAGAAUAAUAAAAAAUGCGCAUCCAUUAUUUGAAAUUAUUAUCACGUUAUUGAUAGGAAAAAGUGUAGAGUGAAGGAGGAUCCCAUGCUCUUCUUGGAGAUUGAAAUGCCAGUUUGGCUACACUUUCUAAUGAAAUGAAUCACUUUCCCAUUACUUUUGAUUGUCACACUUGAAAGCCCCAGGACCAGUUCGCGUACGCAUGGUUUUGUUGAGCUUAUUUAGAACUUUUUCUUUUGUGGCAGCAUGGAAAGGAUCCUGGAAAGAUAUGAAAGAUGCUCAUUUACAGAACGACAAGUUGCUAAUGACUCUGAACAGCAGGGAAAUUGGUCUUUGGAAUGCCCUAAGCUCAUGGCUAGGAUUGAGAUCUUGGAAAGAAGCCUAAGGAACCUUGCAGGAGAAGAUUUGGAUCCCAUGAGUCUAAGAGAACUCCAACACCUGGAGCAACAGAUUGAUAAUGGUCUUAAGCGCGUUCGAGCAAGAAAGAACCAACUCUACCAUGAAUCCCUUUCAGAGCUGCAGAAGAAGGAUAAAGCAUUGCAUGAGCAAAACAGCAUGUUAAGCAAGCAGCUCAAGCAAAAUGAGAAGUCCAUGGCUGAGCAUGCUAACUGGGAGCAGCGAAAUCUUGGUCAGAACCCAACCUACUUCAUGCCACCGCCGAUGCUAUCACUUCCACCUCUAACCACUGGGUAUCAUCUCUCUCUCACCCUCUUUCCAUGACAGAUAAAAGAAAACUUUGAAUGCAUGCUUCUUUUUUUCAUAAAUAAAUAAGUAAAACAGAUUGAAACUAAGCUUUUUUUCUCGUCCAUCGUGGAGAACAGUGUUUGUGUAUAGGGCUAACAUUUAUGUUCUUGAUGAGUGGUGCAGUAGCACUCUCCAGACUAGAGAAUUCAUGAACGAAGAUGAGGAGGCUAUAGCUCAGAUUCAGCCCAAUACAAUUCAGAUACCACCUUGGAUGCUUCGUCAUGUCAAUGAAUAGGAAACUGACAGAUAGCCAUCAAGGUAUAAUUACAAGUAUGGCAUACUGAAGUGAAGAGUAUCACUUCUUUCCGCUGCCAUUAAUGUGGUAUAAAUUUCUACGUUGUAAAUCUGCUUCUGCAUAAUAAUGGAUUUAAUAUUUGAAAUAUUUCAAGACUAUGGAAAAUCUUACCACAUUGAAAAUUUUUAGAGAGUACUUAAAUUAACUGAAAUUAAAUUUCAUUAAUUUUGAAGAGCACAAGCACAAAAAACAAAAACCCCAAACUU
This 2302-nucleotide unclassified non-coding RNA is filed under the name Hevea brasiliensis (rubber tree). Lineage: Eukaryota; Viridiplantae; Streptophyta; Magnoliopsida; Malpighiales; Euphorbiaceae. The record is from RNAcentral.